Molecule: long non-coding RNA, 634 nt
Organism: Gymnodraco acuticeps
Lineage: Eukaryota; Metazoa; Chordata; Actinopteri; Perciformes; Bathydraconidae
Exons: 3
Source: RefSeq, a predicted model, not a curated record
CCACAAGCCAAGCGCCAGCGGAAUGUAACACGUUGUUCAGUUCACCUUCACCAGAGAGGCAGGACAGCGACCAAGAAGUGCAGUUAAGCUGGACAAGCGAUUGCUUUCAUGAAGGCACUUCCCUCAAUGUUUCCUUCCCCAACUGCCCCACCCAAAAAGCUUCGGUCAGCAAGUGAGGCACUGUUCCAUGUUCUUGAGCCAUCCGAGGACCCCAAUACGUUUCUCCAGAAACGGCCCAUCACCAGUCCAGUCAUCCUAGACUCUACUAACCUCCUCCUGGCUGUUGGCAAAAUCCCACUGAUGACCCUACCUAGGGAAAUGAUGCACGAGGCUCCACUCAUCCCGAUGGGGUGUUUUUACACCUUCCACCUCACCUACCCCAAAUGUGUUGCUACUCUCCUAUCCGUCAUCCAGACUGAGGUACUGAAGGACAGUAUUCACGAGCGUGACCUUACCCAUUCAUACAAAAAAGCAAUAGCUGAAUGGGCAGAAUUCACAAAAAAGUAGAGAACUUGAAUUAUGUGUCCAAUGUUUGUCAGUUCUAUGAGGAUGUAUAUAUGUUGAAGAGCUUUGUUCAUUUAAUAAAUGAUCCUGUUUGUUAUGGACUGACUUAAUAAAAAUGUGUUUUUUGAAA